Molecule: transfer RNA, 68 nt
Filed under: pig gut metagenome
Rfam family: tRNA
About the family: Transfer RNA (tRNA) molecules are approximately 80 nucleotides in length.
Source: RNAcentral
CAGGUGUAGUUUAGUGGUAAAACUCCAGCUUCCCAAGCUGGCCUUGUGGGUUCGAUUCCCAUCACCUG